Mirounga angustirostris (Northern elephant seal) is the source of this 559-nucleotide long non-coding RNA. RefSeq lists it as uncharacterized. Lineage: Eukaryota; Metazoa; Chordata; Mammalia; Carnivora; Phocidae. The record is from RefSeq and is a predicted model, not a curated record. The transcript has 3 exons.
CUUGGCUGACCCUAGGACUUGCUGAGGUCUAUACAACUUACGGCCCCAGUACAUUGCUUCAGCUGUGUCUCCUCUUGCAACAGACCUCCCGUCCUGGGUUCCUUCGUCUCUCUGCUGUUUAGAACAAGGUAAGUAACCUCUACACCCAACAUGGGGCUCGAACUCACUACCGUGAGAUCCAGCGUCACAUGCUCUGCCAACUGAGCCAGCCAGAGAGAGCAAGCAAGCACGAGCAAGGGGAGCAGCAGAGGAGGUGGGGAAGCAGGCUCCCCGCUGAACAGGGAGUCCAAAGUGGGACUCGAUCCCAGGACUCCGGGAUCAUGACCUGAGCCGAAGGCAGACGCUUAACCGACUGAGCCACCCAGGUGCCCCGAAGAGGAACAUAUCUGAUAAAUAAAAUCACUUUGAAGUAUUAGUGAUGAAGAGUAUUCUCCCCCUGAGUCAAUACACCUGCUAGGCAUCACUAUUUUUUUAAAGAUUUAUUUAUUUAUUGGGGGUGGGGAAGGAGUGGGGGAGUGGGAGGAGGGGCAGAGGGAGAGGAAGAGAAAAUCCUAAGCAU